RNAcentral lists this ribosomal RNA (253 nucleotides) under uncultured bacterium. RNAcentral describes it as "partial 16S ribosomal RNA". It matches the Rfam family "Bacterial small subunit ribosomal RNA", at positions 524 to 776 of the family's 1533-position model. The record is from RNAcentral.
UACGGGGGGAGCAAGCGUUGUUCGGAUUUACUGGGCGUAAAGAGCGUGUAGGCGGCCAUACAGGUCAGCUGUGAAAACUCGAGGCUCAACCUCGAGACGUCGGUUGAAACCGUAUGGCUAGAGUCCGGAAGAGGAGAGUGGAAUUCCCGGUGUAGCGGUGAAAUGCGCAGAUAUCGGGAAGAACACCUAUGGCGAAGGCAGCUCUCUGGGACGGUACUGACGCUGAGACGCGAAAGCGUGGGGAGCGAACAGG